This 641-nucleotide long non-coding RNA is filed under the name Linum usitatissimum (flax). Its description in RNAcentral is "long non-coding RNA (LUSI_LNC008109)". The record is from RNAcentral. Lineage: Eukaryota; Viridiplantae; Streptophyta; Magnoliopsida; Malpighiales; Linaceae.
UAGGGGACUAGAAAGCUUCAGGGAAGAAGGGAACAGUUUGCUCCCCUUCUCUAAGCUCGUCGACACUUUCGAGGCCUACUAUGCCGCCGUUGCAAACGAUGGCACAUUAUUUACUUUCCUGACCAACAAAGACGCUCCUUUGUAUAAACUAGUUCGGGUUGAUUUGAACAAACCCGGCUCAUGGACCGAUGUUGUUCCACAAUCCGACAAGGAUGUAUUGGAAAAUGCAUAUGCGGUUAAUGGAGAUCGAUUGAUAGUUCAUUACCUCAGCGACGUUAAGAGUGUGUUGCAGAUCAGAGACUUGCAGACAGGAUCGUAUCUGCAGCAGCUUCCCAUUGAAGUUGGCGCAGUGACUCUGGUAUCUGCAAGGAGGAAGGACAGUUCAGCAUUUAUUGCCUUUGCAGGCUUUCUUUUCCCUGGCAUCAUCUACCAAUGCGAUUUCGAAUCUGGCACUCCAGAAUUGAAGAUAUAUAGGGAGAUGAGUGUACCUGGAUUCGAUAUUUCAGAGUUCCAAGUGAAUCAGGUAUGCUCUUCUUUUGCAGCUGGAUAUUUGAUUUUGAUUCCAAAUGAUGAUUCUUUUCCAUGGUUGAAGGUGUUUGUAACUAGUAAGGACAGGACCAAGUUCCCGAUGUUCAUAGGGU